This is a long non-coding RNA of Bombus terrestris (buff-tailed bumblebee), 448 nucleotides long. RefSeq lists it as uncharacterized. The transcript is spliced from 2 exons. The record is from RefSeq and is a predicted model, not a curated record. NCBI's taxonomy places the organism in Eukaryota, Metazoa, Arthropoda, Insecta, Hymenoptera, Apidae.
GGUGUAGCUUGUGUGAUAGUGACUGUUGGUUCUGGAAGGGAGUCUGGGUUGACAGGUACUUGAACACCUCUCUCCCAUUCUUGUUUCCAUUGAUCAGUAAUAACCCAAUAUUCAUUGGGACUUAGUGGCUCACUGUCAGAGCGGUCUGGGGGUCCAGGAUGCCCCUCCUUGACUGGACGACGCCAUCGUCUCCUCCUCUUCUGAGGGCCCCAUGGUAGCUGCCAACGACGACGAACCCGACGCUGGAACCAGCCUACAUUUGCGCCUUUUGAUUGCGCCUGGGCAAGACGCCAAAUCAUUGUCGUUUCUAUUUAUUCGUUUGCCUCGCUGUGCCAUUCUACUAUACCAAGUGAGCUAGCGGUACGUGGCACGUGCAGGUGAGCCGCGCACACCCUAAAACGUUUUAUGAUUGUUAAUUAAAUAAAUGAUAAAAAAAAUUUGAAGCAAA